UACGUAGGGUGCGAGCGUUGUCCGGAAUUAUUGGGCGUAAAGGGCUCGUAGGCGGUUUGUCGCGUCGGGAGUGAAAUCCACUGGCUUAACUGGUGGCUUGCUUUCGAUACGGGCAGACUGGAGGUAUGCAGGGGAGAACGGAAUUCCUGGUGUAGCGGUGAAAUGCGCAGAUAUCAGGAGGAACACCGGUGGCGAAGGCAGCUCGCUGGGACGGUACUGACGCUGAGACGCGAAAGCGUGGGGAGCGAACAGG
RNAcentral lists this ribosomal RNA (253 nucleotides) under uncultured bacterium. Its description in RNAcentral is "partial 16S ribosomal RNA". It matches the Rfam family "Bacterial small subunit ribosomal RNA", at positions 524 to 776 of the family's 1533-position model. The record is from RNAcentral.